This 72-nucleotide transfer RNA is filed under the name Dipodomys ordii (Ord's kangaroo rat). It matches the Rfam family "tRNA". Rfam says of the family: Transfer RNA (tRNA) molecules are approximately 80 nucleotides in length. Lineage: Eukaryota; Metazoa; Chordata; Mammalia; Rodentia; Heteromyidae. The record is from Rfam by way of RNAcentral.
GGAGACAUGCUUCAAUGGUAGAAUGCCUGACUAGAAAGCAUAAGAACCUGAAUUCAAAUCCCAGUAUUACCA